This 415-nucleotide ribosomal RNA is filed under the name uncultured crenarchaeote. RNAcentral's name for it is "partial 16S ribosomal RNA". It matches the Rfam family "Archaeal small subunit ribosomal RNA", at positions 330 to 747 of the family's 1478-position model. The record is from RNAcentral. Lineage: Archaea; Thermoproteati; Thermoproteota.
GUGCAGCAGUCGCGAAAACUCCGCAAUACGCGAAAGCGUGACGGGGCUACCCCGAGUGUCGUCCGCUGAGGACGACUUUUCCACGCUGUAAGGAGGCGUGGGAAUAAGGAGAGGGCAAGUCUGGUGUCAGCCGCCGCGGUAAUACCAGCUCUCCGAGUGGUAGGGAUGAUUAUUGGGCUUAAAGCGUCCGUAGCCGGCUCAGCAAGUCUCCCGUUAAAUCCAGCGAUUUAAUCGUUGGAUUGCGGGGGAUACUGUUCGGCUAGGGGAUGGGAGAAGCCAACGGUAUUCCCGGGGUAGGGGUGAAAUCCUAUAAUCCUAGGGGGACCACCAGUGGCGAAGGCGUUCUGCGAGAACGGGCUCGACGGUGAGGGACGAAAGCCAGGGGCGCAAACGGGAUUAGAUACCCCGGUAGUCC